CGGCGCCCCGCGGGCCGGCGGGAAGAUGGCGGCGGCGGCGGCGGGCGGCCCAGCUGGGAAGGGGCGCGACAUUAGCCUGGCGGCCCUGCGGCGCCACGACCCCUACAUCAGCCGCAUCGUGGACGUGGCCAGCCAGGUGGCCCUGUACACCUUCGGCCACCGGGCCAACGAGUGGGAAAAGACUGAUGUGGAAGGAACCUUAUUUGUUUACACAAGGUCUGCUUCUCCGAAACACGGCUUCACCAUCAUGAACAGGCUGAGCAUGGAGAAUAGGACAGAGCCCAUCACGAAAGACCUGGAUUUCCAGCUCCAGGACCCCUUCCUUCUCUACAGAAAUGCCAGAUUGUCCAUUUAUGGAAUUUGGUUUUACGACAAGGAAGAAUGCCAAAGAAUUGCAGAGCUUAUGAAAAACCUCGCUCAGCACGAGCAGUUGAAAGCCCACCACGGAGCGGCAGUGGGCGCGUCGCCCGUGAGCCUCAGCUCGGGAGAGGGCAAGGAGGCGGACAUCUUGCGGAUGCUCACCAAGGCCAAAGACGAAUACACAAAGUGUAAAGCCUGUCCUGAGCCCAAACAGAUCAGCAGCUCGUCCGCCAUCUACGACAACCCCAAUCUCAUCAAGCCGAUUCCAGUGAAGCCCAGUGGGAGCCGGCAGCAGCGCGGCCCUCGGCCCGGCCAGACCUUAGACCCUGAACCCCAACACCUGUCCUUGACGGCUCUCUUCGGGAAGCAGGACAAAGCUACGUGUCAGGAAGCCGCGGGGCCUCCAAAGACCCUCCACCAGCAGCAGCAAGAGAAGCUUCCGAUCCGGCAGGGGGUCGUCCGCUCCCUGUCCUACGAGGAACCCCGCAAACGCUCGCCCCCGGUCGACAAGCAGCUCUGUCCCGCCAUUCAGAAGCUCCUGGUCGGGAGCGCAGACCUGCAGCCGCUGGCAGAGCUGCCCGAGAGCUGGCCCUGCAGAGACGCCGCCCGGCCAGGGUCUCCCCGCGGCCCCGAGGUCUCCCGCCGCGCGCACGGUGCCCCCAGGACUCAGAACGCGCCGGACCAGCUCCAGAGCAUCCCCGGGGCGCCGGCACCAGCCGCCUCGGCCGCCACCCUCCCGCCGCAGACGCCGGGGCCCCGGGCACUCCCGAGGCCAGCGCCCCCCGGCCCUGGGCCCGGCCGUCGGCCCCCGGGGCCCAGCGAGGUCUCCCCGCGGGAGCUGCUGUGGAAGCUCCAGGCGGUGCAGCAGGCGCAGCAGUUGCCGGCGCCCGGCCGCCCCGCCCUGGCGGCCAAGUUCCCCGUGGCCACCCCGAGCGCCCGAGCACAGGACCCCCUGGAGUCCUGGAGGGGCCAGACCCCCAGCGCGGAGCAGCAGGUUCCCCUCCAUCAGGUCCUCUCGCCCCGGCGCGCCCCGCCCGCCGUGGGCCUAUCUCCGCUCAUGUCGCCACUGGUGUUCGCGCAGCCCCCCUGGGCCCCGCCGCCAGAGAGGGGCAGCGGGCUCUUGCCCCCGGGAAGCCAGGACCCAGCGGCCACCCCCAGCGGCCCCCUCCUGCCUCUGCGGACGCCGGAGCCCCCCAGGACGCCGGGCAGUGCCCUGACCAAGCCGCAGCUCCAGGAGGCCCUGCUGCACCUCGUCCAGAUGACCUUGAGACCUGCCAGUGAGGAGAGGCUGGAAUGGCUUCCUCGUGCCCCUAUGAAGUAAUAAGGGUGAUGACGCUUGUACAGAGCUCUGGGCCGGGCACGGUGUUAGAGACCAGGACGCCGAGGCUGAGGGCCCGGCUUGAGGUCGCCAGCCAGUAAAUAGCAGAGCCGGGGCCGCAGCCUGGCUGCCGCGCCCCUCCCCACUGCGCGACGGGCCAGGAGAUGGCAAAGCCCACCCCAAACGCGAGACAGGCCUUGCAAAGUGCAGGGCGCUCACCCAGGCGGACCGCAGCCUCCUCUGCUCACGUACCGAGAAUGACGACAACUUCUUAAAUAUAAUCUACGAAGCUUAUCUCUUCAGCAUGACACAAGCGGCCAUGAAAAAGACU
RNA transcript from Eubalaena glacialis (North Atlantic right whale), 2009 nucleotides. It is a transcript of the gene named decapping mRNA 1B, with no coding region annotated. The transcript is spliced from 10 exons. The record is from RefSeq and is a predicted model, not a curated record. Lineage: Eukaryota; Metazoa; Chordata; Mammalia; Artiodactyla; Balaenidae.